GUUGUAUAGUUAAGUGACUAAGCGUACAAGGUGGAUGCCUUGGCAAUCAGAGGCGAAGAAGGACGUGCUAAUCUGCGAAAAGCUUGGAUGAGUCGAUAAGAGGCGUUUAAUCCAAGAUAUCCGAAUGGGGAAACCCAGUAGAUGAAGAAUCUACUAUCAACAAGUGAAUUCAUAGCUUGUUGAGGCAAACCGGGAGAACUGAAACAUCUAAGUACCCCGAGGAAAAGAAAUCAACCGAGAUUUCGUCAGUAGCGGCGAGCGAAAGCGAAAGAGCCAGUAAGUGAUAGCAAUAUAGUGAGGAGAAUGUGUUGGGAAGCACAAUCAAAGAGGGUGAUAAUCCCGUAUCUAAAAACCAUAUUGUGGUACUAAGCUAACGAGAAGUAGGGCGGGACACGUGAUAUCCUGUUUGAAGAAGGGGGGCCCAUCCUCCAAGGCUAAAUACUCCUGAUUGACCGAUAGUGAACCAGUACUGUGAAGGAAAGGCGAAAAGAACCCCGGUGAGGGGAGUGAAAUAGAACCUGAAACCUUGUACGUACAAGCAGUGGGAGCGAGGGCAACCUUGUGACUGCGUACCUUUUGUAUAAUGGGUCAGCGACUUAUAUUUUGUAGCGAGGUUAACCGAAUAGGGGAGCCGAAGGGAAACCGAGUCUUAACUGGGCGAAUAGUUGCAAGGUAUAGACCCGAAACCCGGUGAUCUAGCCAUGGGCAGGUUGAAGGUUGGGUAACACUAACUGGAGGACCGAACCGACUAAUGUUGAAAAAUUAGCGGAUGACUUGUGGCUGGGGGUGAAAGGCCAAUCAAACCGGGAGAUAGCUGGUUCUCCCCGAAAUCUAUUUAGGUAGAGCCUUGAGGUGACACCUUUGGGGUAGAGCACUGUUUCGGCUAGGGGGCCAUCCCGGCUUACCAACCCGAUGCAAACUACGAAUACCAAAGAGUGAUACUCAGGAGACACACGGCGGGUGCUAACGUCCGUCGUGGAGAGGGAAACAACCCAGACCGCCAGCUAAGGUCCCCAAGUCUAUAUUAAGUGGGAAACGAAGUGGGAAGGCUUAGACAGCUAGGAUGUUGGCUUAGAAGCAGCCAUCAUUUAAAGAAAGCGUAAUAGCUCACUAGUCGAGUCGGCCUGCGCGGAAGAUGUAACGGGGCUGAAAUAUAGCACCGAAGCUGCGGCAUCAGAAUUUAUUCUGUUGGGUAGGGGAGCGUUGUGUAAGCGGAAGAAGGUUCAUCGAGAGGUGGGCUGGACGUAUCACAAGUGCGAAUGCUGACAUAAGUAACGAUAAAACGGGUGAAAAACCCGUUCGCCGGAAGACCAAGGGUUCCUGUCCAACGUUAAUCGGGGCAGGGUGAGUCGGCUCCUAAGGCGAGGCUGAAAAGCGUAGUCGAUGGGAAACAGGUUAAUAUUCCUGUACUUGGUAAAGCUGCGAUGUGGGGACGGAGUAGGUUAGGUUAUCGCACUGUUGGAUAUGUGCGUUUAAGUUGGUAGGUGGGAAGUUUAGGCAAAUCCGGACUUCCUUAACACAGAGAGAUGAUGACGAGGCUCUACGGAGCUGAAGUAACUGAUACCACACUUCCAGGAAAAGCCACUAAGCGAAAGGCUUUACUAAACCGUACUGAAAACCGACACAGGUGGUCAGGUAGAGAAUACUCAGGCGCUUGAGAGAACUCGGGUGAAGGAACUAGGCAAAAUAGCACCGUAACUUCGGGAGAAGGUGCGCCGGCGUAGAUUGUAAGGGCUAGCCCCUGAAGGUUGAACCGGUCGAAGAUACCAGCUGGCUGCAACUGUUUAUUAAAAACACAGCACUCUGCAAACACGAAAGUGGACGUAUAGGGUGUGAUGCCUGCCCGGUGCUGGAAGGUUAAUUGAUGGUGUCAUCGAAAGAGAAGCACCUGAUCGAAGCCCCAGUAAACGGCGGCCGUAACUAUAACGGUCCUAAGGUAGCGAAAUUCCUUGUCGGGUAAGUUCCGACCUGCACGAAUGGCAUAAUGAUGGCCAGGCUGUCUCCACCCGAGACUCAGUGAAAUUGAAAUCGCCGUGAAGAUGCGGUGUACCCGCGGCUAGACGGAAAGACCCCGUGAACCUUUACUAUAGCUUGACACUGAACAUUGAAUUUUGAUGUGUAGGAUAGGUGGGAGCCUUUGAAGCAGUGACGCCAGUCAUUGUGGAGGCGACCUUGAAAUACCACCCUUUAACGUUUGAUGUUCUAACGAAGAUGACGAAACGUGGUCUCGGACAGUGUCUGGUGGGUAGUUUGACUGGGGCGGUCUCCUCCCAAAGCGUAACGGAGGAGCACGAAGGUUUGCUAAUCACGGUCGGACAUCGUGAGGUUAGUGCAAUGGUAUAAGCAAGCUUAACUGCGAGACAGACAAGUCGAGCAGGUACGAAAGUAGGUCAUAGUGAUCCGGUGGUUCUGAAUGGAAGGGCCAUCGCUCAACGGAUAAAAGGUACUCCGGGGAUAACAGGCUGAUACCGCCCAAGAGUUCAUAUCGACGGCGGUGUUUGGCACCUCGAUGUCGGCUCAUCACAUCCUGGGGCUGAAGUAGGUCCCAAGGGUAUGGCUGUUCGCCAUUUAAAGUGGUACGCGAGCUGGGUUUAGAACGUCGUGAGACAGUUCGGUCCCUAUCUGCCGUGGGCGUAGGAUGAUUGAUUGGGGCUGCUCCUAGUACGAGAGGACCGGAGUGGACGCAUCACUGGUGUUCCGGUUGUGUCGCCAGACGCAUUGCCGGGUAGCUAAAUGCGGAAGAGAUAAGUGCUGAAAGCAUCUAAGCACGAAACUUGCCAAGAGAUGAGUCAUCCCUGACUUUAAGUCAGUAAGGGUUGUUGUAGACUACGACGUAGAUAGGUUGGGUGUGUAAGUGAUGUGAGUCAUUGAGCUAACCAAUACUAAUUGCCCGAGAGGCUUAACUAUACAACGCUCAAG
Molecule: ribosomal RNA, 2919 nt
Filed under: Haemophilus influenzae
Lineage: Bacteria; Pseudomonadati; Pseudomonadota; Gammaproteobacteria; Pasteurellales; Pasteurellaceae
Description: bacterial LSU rRNA
Rfam family: Bacterial large subunit ribosomal RNA
Source: RNAcentral